RNAcentral lists this ribosomal RNA (447 nucleotides) under uncultured bacterium. RNAcentral describes it as "partial 16S ribosomal RNA". It matches the Rfam family "Bacterial small subunit ribosomal RNA", at positions 29 to 523 of the family's 1533-position model. The record is from RNAcentral.
AGCGAACGCUGGCGGCAGGCCUAACACAUGCAAGUCGAACGAAGUCUUCGGACUUAGUGGCGGACGGGUGAGUAACACGUGGGAACGUGCCUUUAGGUCCGGAAUAACUCAGGGAAACUUGUGCUAAUACCGAAUGUGCCCUUCGGGGGAAAGAUUUAUCGCCUUUAGAGCGGCCCGCGUCUGAUUAGCUAGUUGGUGAGGUAAAGGCUCACCAAGGCGACGAUCAGUAGCUGGUCUGAGGAUGAUCAGCCACAUUGGGGCUGAGACACGGCCCAAACUCCUACGGGAGGCAGCAGUGGGGAAUCUUGCGCAAUGGGCGAAAGCCUGACGCAGCCAUGCCGCGUGAAUGAUGAAGGUCUUAGGAUUGUAAAAUUCUUUCACCGGGGACGAUAAUGACGGUACCCGGAGAAGAAGCCCCGGCUAACUUCGUGCCAGCAGCCGCGGUAA